Molecule: long non-coding RNA, 1553 nt
Organism: Humulus lupulus (European hop)
Lineage: Eukaryota; Viridiplantae; Streptophyta; Magnoliopsida; Rosales; Cannabaceae
Exons: 3
Source: RefSeq, a predicted model, not a curated record
CUGUGUUUUUUAUCAUUGCUCUCGGUCUGCUUCUAGUUUAGCUGCUGAAGUUAAACUUUUAUUGCAUCAUAGGCUUAUCAGUAUUAGCAAAAAGAAACUUUCUGCCCAGGAUAAUCGUUUACUAGCUCAGUUCACUAUGUAAUUGUUUAGUGUUCUGCUCUGUUUUUCCCUGUAUUGGUUUUUCUUUUAGCUUGCUGUGAGUUGUUUUUUGAGGCUUGUUGUUAGCCGUUGGUUGUUUGAGUUGGUUUAGUGUGUAUCUUUGCUUGUUUGAUUAAUGAAGUUCAUCCUUUCUUCUUGAUAAAAAAAAAGCAUUGUAGUAUCUACGUUUUUUCAUGUGGGUGGGCAGGAUAUGUUUUUAUCAAGGUAAAUAAUUUAUUUUUAUCACAUGGCAUCUAAUGUGAACAUAUUGCUUUCAGGGGAAUCAACAACGAAGAGAAAGUACAUCUGAGGCAAAAACUGGUAUCCCAUUUAAGAGAAGAAAACUAUCAGACAACUCUCAUGUUGGCUAUGCUCAUCUCAAAAAUUGCUCGAAUUGAUUAUCCAGUAGAAUGUCUCUUCUGUGUAGUGAGUCCAGGGUUAAAGAAUGUCCGGGCCUUUGCCUCUGCAUCGUGGCAUAUCUUCUGGGACACGAGGCUCUGGAGGGAGCAAUGAUUUCAGCGACUCUUAAAUGAAAGAUAAAACAGAAAAGGAUGAUUUGGAUAGAAGAGGUUCAUCUGAUCAGAGUGCCUUUGGGAUGAAUGUGAGUGUAAUUAUCAUUCUCCUUUCUUUCCUACAUAAACCUAUCCUCAUAAAUUUAUAUUAAUGGUAUUAGUAAAUUAAUCUUGAUACAGUUGUUGGUUUAAUGGUAUUGGUUUGCCACUAUUGUUUUGAUAAAGCCUUUGACAAGUUCUAUGACAUGUACAAUGCAACUUGGUAUGAUAUGGAUAUGUUUAGAGCUGUUAUUAUCUUCAUAAUUGAUCAACAUUUUCACUUCAUAAUUGACAUAAAUCCAAACUAUAUUACAGGAAAGGUUAUGGGUUGUAGAUAUUGAUACAAUGUGGAUUAUAUAUAUACAUAUAUGUUAUGUAAUGCUGUUUAUUUAGGUUGUAAUUUUUACUUUGAAUUAGAUAUAUUAAUAUGAUUUAAGCAUUAUUUUGAUGAGAUUUCAGUCGACAUUGUUUAUGCUAUGUUUUGUUACUCCAUUGUUUAUCCUAAUUCCUAUAAAUAUUUAUAUUUUUGUACAAAUAUGGCAAUCUUUGUUUCUUCCAUUAUCUUUGGCAAAAUAAAAAUAUCUCUUAAAUGAUGAAAUCUCUGAUUAUCUGAGCAUGUAAUCUUUAGCAAGAGCUUCUCUUUACCAUGAAAUCAUCUGAUCAAGAAUAUAAUGCACUUUUAAUGGCUUGAAUUCAAACUUUCUUGACUAUGUAGUCUAAUUGUAUCGUAUAUGAUGUAUGUGAUUAUGAAGUGGCUGUAAUUACUAGAAUUCAAGUAUAUUCUAGUUCUAUAUGCAUUAAGGAUUGUAGUUUUGUUAAAUUUGUUUUCUUUAUUGUUGGAAUGCAAUUCUCUUUUUCUUUUCU